Molecule: ribosomal RNA, 891 nt
Filed under: uncultured bacterium
Lineage: Bacteria
Description: bacterial SSU rRNA
Rfam family: Bacterial small subunit ribosomal RNA
Source: RNAcentral
CUUAGAGUUUGAUCCUGGCUCAGGAUGAACGCUGGCGGCGUGCCUAACACAUGCAAGUCGAACGAGCAAAUACAUUUGAUUUCUUCGGAAUGAAGAUGUAGGCGCGAGUGGCGGACGGGUGAGUAACGCGUGAGUAAUCUGCCUCAUACAGGAGAAUAACACUAAGAAAUUGGUGCUAAUACUCCAUAAGCUCACAUUAUGACAUCAUAGAGUGAGAAAAGAUUUAUCGGUAUGAGAGGAGCUCGCGUCUGAUUAGCUAGUUGGUGGGGUAACGGCCUACCAAGGCAACGAUCAGUAGCCGACCUGAGAGGGUGAUCGGCCACAUUGGAACUGAGACACGGUCCAAACUCCUACGGGAGGCAGCAGUGGGGAGUAUUGCACAAUGGGGGAAACCCUGAUGCAGCAACGCCGCGUGAAGGAAGAAGUAUUUCGGUAUGUAAACUUCUAUCGACAGGGAAGAAACAAAUGACGGUACCUGAAUAAGAAGCACCGGCUAAAUACGUGCCAGCAGCCGCGGUAAUACGUAUGGUGCAAGCGUUAUCCGGAUUUACUGGGUGUAAAGGGUGAGUAGGCGGUCAUGCAAGUCAUAUGUGAAAUGUCAGGGCUUAACCUUGGCGCUGCAUAAGAAACUGUAUGACUAGAGUGCAGGAGAGGUAAGCGGAAUUCCUAGUGUAGCGGUGAAAUGCGUAGAUAUUAGGAAGAACACCGGUGGCGAAGGCGGCUUACUGGACUGUUACUGACGCUGAGUCACGAAAGCGUGGGGAGCAAACAGGAUUAGAUACCCUAGUAGUCCACGCCGUAAACGAUGGUCACUAAGUGUCGGGGGUCAAACCCCGGUGCUGCAGUCAACGCAAUAAGUGACCCGCCUGAGUAGUACGUUCGCAAGAAUGA